AUUGGCUUCAGUUGCUUCCUGUGCUGGCGGUUUCAGAUCAACGAUUCUAGCACGACUUUAGGAUGUCAACCCAGCAUUUCAACAGUCGGAGGUAGUCCGUGCCCGCCCAAACCUCCCAACUUCAGAGGCAAACGGAGCCAUAAGGUGGCCCGCCACCUUGAGAAGCCCUUUCCUACUGUUUCCUGCAGGGAAGGCAUCCAAAAUGUAGUUUGAUUUACUUCACUGGCUAGAAGGAAGAACCACAGACCGGAUUCUAGAGCUGAACGAGCUGUUAGAGGGCACCUGAUCACCACACAAGAAGCAGCGAUCCUUAGGAAGAGGUCGUCCACCCCUGCCCUGAAGAAACCGAGGCAAAGUCAAUUUGUCCUAUGCCCAGGGCAUGCUGAGGUAGCUUUGAUUUAUAGGGUUGCAGAUCUGGAGCUAGGAGAGCUCGUGGAGGCCAUUUAAUUUAACUGUUUAAAUUUCAAAGAUAAGGAAACUGAGACCUGGAAGGUUGAGGAUCUUGCACAAGAAUACAGGAAGAGAAAAAUGUUAGAAACAGAGCUUGAAUCUAGGUCUGCUGACUUCAAGGCCAAAGCUCCUUUCAUCUUUGGGUGACAUGUAUUGUGACUUUAUUUUUAAUUUUUAUUCUCCAAUUGAUUUCAUUUUUGUGCCUUUUGCUUUGAUAGAAAAGAUACUUCCCAAGAUUCAAGGCAUGAUCCCAACUCUACUAGAUACAGUCAGUAAAUGUUAGGCCAAGAAGUUAAACAAAAAAUAACUAUAAUUACUGGCUUUUCUGUAAUGUAUUAUAACUAGCAACGUAUUACAUACCUAGUUUCAUUUGAUUCCUGUAGCAAACUUUUGAGGUAAGAACGAUCAUUCCCUUAAGUUGAGGCAACUUAACAAAAAUCCUGUAAUUUGUCUAAACUGACACAUGUGCUUUGAGCUGUCAAGUGCUUGCAAUUGCUGAGAUGCCGGGAGAGAGAAGGAGGGAAAGGAAAAGAGAGGAAAGGGGGGAGAGAAGAAAAAAAGAAAAAUAGAGACUAAGAGAUAGAAAGAGAUCAAGAGUCAGAGAGGAGAGAGACAGAGAGACAAAGACAGGAAGAGACAGAAACAGAGACAGAGAUAGAGAAACAGACAGAGAAAGAUAGAAAGAGAAAUAGAGAGACAAAGAGAGUCAGAGACAAAGAAGAGACAGAGAGAUAGAGACAGAGAAACAGAGAGAGAAAGAGAGACACAGAAAGAAACAGAUACACUUAGAGACAGAGAGACAGAAAAACAGAGACAGAGACAGAGAAACAGAGA
Antechinus flavipes (yellow-footed antechinus) is the source of this 1284-nucleotide long non-coding RNA. RefSeq lists it as uncharacterized. NCBI's taxonomy places the organism in Eukaryota, Metazoa, Chordata, Mammalia, Dasyuromorphia, Dasyuridae. The record is from RefSeq and is a predicted model, not a curated record. The transcript is spliced from 2 exons.